RNAcentral lists this unclassified non-coding RNA (271 nucleotides) under Hevea brasiliensis (rubber tree). The record is from RNAcentral. Lineage: Eukaryota; Viridiplantae; Streptophyta; Magnoliopsida; Malpighiales; Euphorbiaceae.
GUGCUUCUUGACAAAGAUUUUAACCCAAAGAUUGGAGAUUUUGGGUUGGCUAAACUCUUUCCAGAUAACAUCACUCAUAUUAGCACAAGAGUGGCAGGGGGAAAAAUUUGGCACCAGAGUAUGCACUGGGUGGUCAGUUAACCAUGAAGGCUGAUGUGUAUAGUUUUGGGGUGCUUAUCCUUGAAAUAAUUAGUGGCAAAAGCAGUACAAAGGCCAGCUGGGGAGAAAUGCAAAAGCUCCUCCUAGAAUGGGCAUGGCAGCUUCAUGAAGA